RNAcentral lists this ribosomal RNA (145 nucleotides) under uncultured eukaryote. RNAcentral describes it as "partial 18S ribosomal RNA". It matches the Rfam family "Eukaryotic small subunit ribosomal RNA", at positions 1299 to 1458 of the family's 1831-position model. The record is from RNAcentral.
UGGUGGAGUGAUUUGUCUGGUUAAUUCCGUUAACGAACGAGACCUCGACCUGCUAAAUAGUUCGGCGAACUCUUCGGGGUUCGUGCGUCUGACUUCUUAGAGGGACUAUCGGUGACUUAGCCGAUGGAAGUUCGAGGCAAUAACA